UACGGAGGGUGCAAACGUUGCUCGGAAUCAUUGGGCGUAAGGCGCACGUAGGCGGCCUGUUAAGUCGGGUGUGAAAGCCCUGGGCUCAACCCAGGAAGUGCACUCGAAACUGGCGGGCUUGAAUAUGGAAGAGGGUCGCGGAAUUCCCGGUGUAGAGGUGAAAUUCGUAGAUAUCGGGAGGAACACCGAUGGCGAAGGCAGGUCUCUGGGCUGUAACUGACGCUGAGGAGCGAAAGCAUGGGGAGCGAACAGG
This 253-nucleotide ribosomal RNA is filed under the name uncultured bacterium. Its description in RNAcentral is "partial 16S ribosomal RNA". It matches the Rfam family "Bacterial small subunit ribosomal RNA", at positions 524 to 776 of the family's 1533-position model. The record is from RNAcentral.